UCGAGUUGUGCCCCUAUUUGAGAAACUUGCUGAUCUCGAGGCAGCCCCUGCAGCUGUAGCCAGACUCUUCUCGAUAGACUGGUAUGUGAACAGGAUUGAUGGAAAGCAGGAAGUUAUGAUCGGGUAUUCAGAUUCCGGGAAGGAUGCCGGACGCUUUUCUGCAGCCUGGCAGAUGUAUAAAGCCCAAGAGGAGCUUGUAAAAGUUGCCAAGAAAUUUGGAGUGAAGUUGACAAUGUUUCAUGGACGAGGGGGUACUGUUGGGAGAGGUGGUGGUCCUACUCAUCUUGCUAUAUUAUCUCAGCCGCCAGAUACUAUUCAUGGGUCACUUCGUGUCACGGUUCAAGGUGAAGUCAUAGAACAAUGCUUUGGAGAGGAACAUUUGUGUUUCAGAACACUGCAGCGUUUUACUGCUGCUACUCUUGAACAUGGGAUGCACCCUCCUAUUUCUCCAAAGCCAGAAUGGCGUGCGUUGAUGGAUGAGAUGGCUGUUGUG
This 493-nucleotide unclassified non-coding RNA is filed under the name Hevea brasiliensis (rubber tree). Lineage: Eukaryota; Viridiplantae; Streptophyta; Magnoliopsida; Malpighiales; Euphorbiaceae. The record is from RNAcentral.